Long non-coding RNA from Electrophorus electricus (electric eel), 290 nucleotides. RefSeq lists it as uncharacterized. The record is from RefSeq and is a predicted model, not a curated record. NCBI's taxonomy places the organism in Eukaryota, Metazoa, Chordata, Actinopteri, Gymnotiformes, Gymnotidae.
UCUUCUGCAGUCUGGCCCGCUCAUCCUCCACCUCCUUCAGCUUACGGCACAAGACGGCAUUCUCAUCGUCCUUAAACAAAAUGUCAAGGACAUAUGUCACGUUCUGGUCAGAAGCUAAAGAUGUCCUCGUGCAUAAGUAGAGAAGUCCCCAAAACCCUCAGGAGGUCUCUUUGGCCUUCCUGGUUUCAAGGACUUCUUUUCUGUCACUGGCUACAGAAUGAAGUAAAUAUGCUGUGAAAUUUAACCUGGCCAAGUAAUAUCGCUGUGAUCAAAAGAUAUUUGAGUUUUAC